This 192-nucleotide non-coding RNA is filed under the name Virgibacillus profundi. RNAcentral describes it as "6S RNA". It matches the Rfam family "6S / SsrS RNA". Rfam says of the family: E. coli 6S RNA was the first non coding RNA to be sequenced, but its function was unknown until recently. It consists of 184 nucleotides that fold into an extended hairpin structure with a large single-stranded internal bulge. The 6S RNA specifically associates with RNA polymerase holoenzyme containing the sigma70 specificity factor. Lineage: Bacteria; Bacillati; Bacillota; Bacilli; Caryophanales; Bacillaceae. The record is from RNAcentral.
CCAAUCCUGAUGUGUUCGUCUAUUAAAAGUGUUUUGACCGAACAACUUUAUACUUGGGAGCUCGAAGUUGUUUUUAUGUUGCGUGCAUGCCCCGUUUUUAUAUCCGGGGAAGCAUAACAUACAUAAAACAGAGCACCCACCUGCCUGGAGCGGGAUCAAAACUUAAAGUUAGACGGCACAAUUGGGAUUGAU